UACGAAGGGGACUAGCGUUGUUCGGAAUUACUGGGCGUAAAGCGCGCGUAGGCGGAUCGCUAAGUCAGGGGUGAAAUCCCAGGGCUCAACCCUGGAACUGCCUUUGAUACUGACGAUCUGGAGAUCGGGAGAGGUUGGUGGAAUUCCGAGUGUAGAGGUGAAAUUCGUAGAUAUUCGGAGGAACACCAGAAGCGAAGGCGGCCAACUGGCCCGAUACUGACGCUGAGGCGCGAAAGCGUGGGGAGCGAACAGG
Molecule: ribosomal RNA, 253 nt
Filed under: uncultured bacterium
Lineage: Bacteria
Description: partial 16S ribosomal RNA
Rfam family: Bacterial small subunit ribosomal RNA
Source: RNAcentral